This 568-nucleotide ribosomal RNA is filed under the name Trichoderma harzianum. RNAcentral describes it as "eukaryotic LSU rRNA". The stretch from base 178 to 331 matches the Rfam family "5.8S ribosomal RNA". Lineage: Eukaryota; Fungi; Ascomycota; Sordariomycetes; Hypocreales; Hypocreaceae. The record is from RNAcentral.
UGUGAACGUUACCAAACUGUUGCCUCGGCGGGAUCUCUGCCCCGGGUGCGUCGCAGCCCCGGACCAAGGCGCCCGCCGGAGGACCAACCAAAACUCUUAUUGUAUACCCCCUCGCGGGUUUUUUUUAUAAUCUGAGCCUUCUCGGCGCCUCUCGUAGGCGUUUCGAAAAUGAAUCAAAACUUUCAACAACGGAUCUCUUGGUUCUGGCAUCGAUGAAGAACGCAGCGAAAUGCGAUAAGUAAUGUGAAUUGCAGAAUUCAGUGAAUCAUCGAAUCUUUGAACGCACAUUGCGCCCGCCAGUAUUCUGGCGGGCAUGCCUGUCCGAGCGUCAUUUCAACCCUCGAACCCCUCCGGGGGGUCGGCGUUGGGGAUCGGCCCUGCCUUGGCGGUGGCCGUCUCCGAAAUACAGUGGCGGUCUCGCCGCAGCCUCUCCUGCGCAGGAGUGUGCACACUCGGAUCGGGAGCGCGGCGCGUCCACAGCCGUUAAACACCCAACUUCUGAAAUGUUGACCUCGGAUCAGGUAGGAAUACCCGCUGAACAUUAAGCAUAUCAAUAAGGCGGAGGGAA